RNAcentral lists this ribosomal RNA (1372 nucleotides) under uncultured bacterium. RNAcentral's name for it is "bacterial SSU rRNA". It matches the Rfam family "Bacterial small subunit ribosomal RNA", at positions 28 to 1381 of the family's 1533-position model. The record is from RNAcentral.
GAUGAACGCUGGCGGCGUGCCUAAUACAUGCAAGUCGAGCGAACGGACGAGAAGCUUGCUUCUCUGAUGUUAGCGGCGGACGGGUGAGUAACACGUGGAUAACCUACCUAUAAGACUGGGAUAACUUCGGGAAACCGGAGCUAAUACCGGAUAAUAUUUUGAACCGCAUGGUUCAGAAGUGAAAGACGGUCUUGCUGUCACUUAUAGAUGGAUCCGCGCUGCAUUAGCUAGUUGGUAAGGUAACGGCUUACCAAGGCAACGAUGCAUAGCCGACCUGAGAGGGUGAUCGGCCACACUGGAACUGAGACACGGUCCAGACUCCUACGGGAGGCAGCAGUAGGGAAUCUUCCGCAAUGGGCGAAAGCCUGACGGAGCAACGCCGCGUGAGUGAUGAAGGUCUUCGGAUCGUAAAACUCUGUUAUUAGGGAAGAACAUAUGUGUAAGUAACUGUGCACAUCUUGACGGUACCUAAUCAGAAAGCCACGGCUAACUACGUGCCAGCAGCCGCGGUAAUACGUAGGUGGCAAGCGUUAUCCGGAAUUAUUGGGCGUAAAGCGCGCGUAGGCGGUUUUUUAAGUCUGAUGUGAAAGCCCACGGCUCAACCGUGGAGGGUCAUUGGAAACUGGAAAACUUGAGUGCAGAAGAGGAAAGUGGAAUUCCAUGUGUAGCGGUGAAAUGCGCAGAGAUAUGGAGGAACACCAGUGGCGAAGGCGACUUUCUGGUCUGUAACUGACGCUGAUGUGCGAAAGCGUGGGGAUCAAACAGGAUUAGAUACCCUGGUAGUCCACGCCGUAAACGAUGAGUGCUAAGUGUUAGGGGGUUUCCGCCCCUUAGUGCUGCAGCUAACGCAUUAAGCACUCCGCCUGGGGAGUACGACCGCAAGGUUGAAACUCAAAGGAAUUGACGGGGACCCGCACAAGCGGUGGAGCAUGUGGUUUAAUUCGAAGCAACGCGAAGAACCUUACCAAAUCUUGACAUCCUUUGACAACUCUAGAGAUAGAGCCUUCCCCUUCGGGGGACAAAGUGACAGGUGGUGCAUGGUUGUCGUCAGCUCGUGUCGUGAGAUGUUGGGUUAAGUCCCGCAGCGAGCGCAACCCUUAAGCUUAGUUGCCAUCAUUAAGUUGGGCACUCUAAGUUGACUGCCGGUGACAAACCGGAGGAAGGUGGGGAUGACGUCAAAUCAUCAUGCCCCUUAUGAUUUGGGCUACACACGUGCUACAAUGGACAAUACAAAGGGCAGCGAAACCGCGAGGUCAAGCAAAUCCCAUAAAGUUGUUCUCAGUUCGGAUUGUAGUCUGCAACUCGACUACAUGAAGCUGGAAUCGCUAGUAAUCGUAGAUCAGCAUGCUACGGUGAAUACGUUCCCGGGUCU